UACGGGGGGGGCAAGCGUUGUUCGGAAUUACUGGGCGUAAAGGGCGCGUAGGCGGCCUUCUAAGUCGGACGUGAAAUCCCUCGGCUCAACCGAGGAACUGCGUCUGAUACUGGAAGGCUUGAAUCCGGGAGAGGGAUGUGGAAUUCCAGGUGUAGCGGUGAAAUGCGUAGAUAUCUGGAGGAACACCGGUGGCGAAGGCGGCAUCCUGGACCGGUAUUGACGCUGAUGCGCGAAAGCCAGGGGAGCAAACGGG
Molecule: ribosomal RNA, 253 nt
Filed under: uncultured bacterium
Lineage: Bacteria
Description: partial 16S ribosomal RNA
Rfam family: Bacterial small subunit ribosomal RNA
Source: RNAcentral